CGACACGCACCUACUACUACUCCAAGCAUCUGCCUCAUUUUUGAAGACUUGGAAGCGGACAGGAAUUAGGAAGCCUUGUCUCGGCACGCGGAGUCGAGGGCAAUAGCAAGAACCCUAUACCAGGUUACAAGGAGUGACAACACCGCCACAGGCAAGAAUACCCAACAUUGCCACUGGGAACUCAAGUGAAGAGGGAGAACAAAUGCCAACAACAUCUCCUUUGUCAAGUCCCGCUUCGCGUAAAU
Molecule: non-coding RNA, 245 nt
Organism: Styela clava
Lineage: Eukaryota; Metazoa; Chordata; Ascidiacea; Stolidobranchia; Styelidae
Source: RefSeq, a predicted model, not a curated record